GCGAGUGAAGCGGUAACAGCUCAAAUUUGAAAUCUGGCUCCUCGGGGCCCGAAUUGUAAUUUGUAGAAGAUGCUUUGGGUCUGGGCCUGGCCUAAGUUCCUUGGAACAGGACGUCGUAGAGGGUGAGAAUCCCGUAUGCGGCUGGCGCCCGUGCCCGUGUAAAGCUCUUUCGACGAGUCGAGUUGUUUGGGAAUGCAGCUCUAAAUGGGUGGUAAAUUUCAUCUAAAGCUAAAUAUUGGCCAGAGACCGAUAGCGCACAAGUAGAGUGAUCGAAAGAUGAAAAGCACUUUGGAAAGAGAGUUAAACAGUACGUGAAAUUGUUGAAAGGGAAGCGCUGGCAACCAGACUUGGGCGCUGUUGAUCCGCUAGGGUUCUCUCUAGGGCACUCGGCAGCGCGCAGGCCAGCAUCGGUUUGGGGGGUUGGAGAAUGGCUGGUGGAAUGUGGCUGUCUUCGGGCAGUGUUAUAGCCACCGGUGGCAUGCAGCCUCCCCGGACCGAGGACCGCGCUUCGGCUAGGAUGCUGGCGUAAUGGUUGUCAGCGACCCGUCUUGAAACACGGACCAAGGAGUCUAACAUCUAUGCGAGUGUUUGGGUGUUAAACCCAUACGCGGAAUGAAAGUGAACGUAGGUGAGAACCCGUAAGGGUGCAUCAUCGACCGAU
Molecule: ribosomal RNA, 661 nt
Filed under: Podosphaera elsholtziae
Lineage: Eukaryota; Fungi; Ascomycota; Leotiomycetes; Helotiales; Erysiphaceae
Description: partial large subunit ribosomal RNA
Rfam family: Eukaryotic large subunit ribosomal RNA
Source: RNAcentral